AUUGAACGCUGGCGGCAUGCCUUACACAUGCAAGUCGAACGGCAGCACGGGUGCUUGCACCUGGUGGCGAGUGGCGAACGGGUGAGUAAUAUAUCGGAACGUACCUUAUUGUGGGGGAUAACGCAGCGAAAGCUGUGCUAAUACCGCAUAAUCCCUAAGGGGGAAAGCGGGGGACCGGAAGGCCUCGCGCAAUUAGAGCGGCCGAUACCUGAUUAGCUAGUUGGUGAGGUAAAGGCUCACCAAGGCAACGAUCAGUAGCUGGUCUGAGAGGACGAUCAGCCACACUGGAACUGAGACACGGCCCAGACUCCUACGGGAGGCAGCAGUGGGGAAUUUUGGAAAAUGGGGGCAACCCUGAUCCAGCAAUGCCGCGUGAGUGAAGAAGGCCGUCGGGUUGUAAAGCUCUUUUGUCAGGGAAGAAACAGCAGCUCUAACACAGUAUGCGAAUGACGGUACCUGAAGAAUAAGCACCGGCUAACUACGUGCCAGCCGCCGCAGUAA
Molecule: ribosomal RNA, 501 nt
Filed under: uncultured bacterium
Lineage: Bacteria
Description: partial 16S ribosomal RNA
Rfam family: Bacterial small subunit ribosomal RNA
Source: RNAcentral